UACGUAGGGUGCAAGCGUUGUCCGGAAUUAUUGGGCGUAAAGAGCUCGUAGGCGGCCUGUUACGUCUGCUGUGAAAUCCCGGGGCUUAACCCCGGGCGUGCAGUGGAUACGGGCAGGCUGGAGGCAGGCAGGGGAGAACGGAAUUCCCGGUGUAGCGGUGAAAUGCGCAGAUAUCGGGAGGAACACCGGUGGCGAAGGCGGUUCUCUGGGCCUGUACUGACGCUGAGGAGCGAAAGCGUGGGGAGCGAACAGG
Molecule: ribosomal RNA, 253 nt
Filed under: uncultured bacterium
Lineage: Bacteria
Description: partial 16S ribosomal RNA
Rfam family: Bacterial small subunit ribosomal RNA
Source: RNAcentral